UCUAAAGCAGCUGGGGUAAGUUAUUCUCCCUUAGUUGAUCAAUCUAAAGCAGCUAUGACUGCAUCGACAACCUCCUGUGUCGUGCUCUGUCCACCGAGGUCCUUGGUUCGGUGCUUGCCUUCGAAUAUCACCUUCUUGACUGCUGUUUCUAAUCGAUCGGCAAAAGAAGGAAACUGGAGAUGUCUCAGCAUCAUGGCGGAUGAUAACAGCAGUGCAACAGGGUUUGCCUUCUUUUGUUCCACAAGCCUCUCAUUCCCCACGUUUCCUGCUGAAGCUCCUUGCUCAAAAACAGCGUGAUCAGCGCCGACAUUGCCUCCCGGCAUAACG
This 327-nucleotide unclassified non-coding RNA is filed under the name Hevea brasiliensis (rubber tree). The record is from RNAcentral. Lineage: Eukaryota; Viridiplantae; Streptophyta; Magnoliopsida; Malpighiales; Euphorbiaceae.